CGGGAGCAAGCCCUUCGGGGUGAGUGUACCUUUCGAAUAAGCACCGGCUAACUACGUGCCAGCAGCCGCGGUAAUACGUAGGGUGCAAGCGUUAUCCGGAAUUAUUGGGCGUAAAGGGCUCGUAGGCGGUUCGUCGCGUCCGGUGUGAAAGCCCAUCGCUUAACGGUGGGUCUGCGCCGGGUACGGGCGGGCUGGAGUGCGGUAGGGGAGACUGGAAUUCCCGGUGUAACGGUGGAAUGUGUAGAUAUCGGGAAGAACACCAAUGGCGAAGGCAGGUCUCUGGGCCGUCACUGACGCUGAGGAGCGAAAGCGUGGGGAGCGAACAGGAUUAGAUACCCUGGUAGUCCACGCCGUAAACGGUGGAUGCUGGAUGUGGGGCCCGUUCCACGGGUUCCGUGUCGGAGCUAACGCGUUAAGCAUCCCGCCUGGGGAGUACGGCCGCAAGGCUAAAACUCAAAGAAAUUGACGGGGGCCCGCACAAGCGGCGGAGCAUGCGGAUUAAUUCGAUGCAACGCGAAGAACCUUACCUGGGCUUGACAUGUUCCCGACAGCCGUAGAGAUAUGGCCUCCCUUCGGGGCGGGUUCACAGGUGGUGCAUGGUCGUCGUCAGCUCGUGUCGUGAGAUGUUGGGUUAAGUCCCGCAACGAGCGCAACCCUCGCCCUGUGUUGCCAGCACGUCAUGGUGGGAACUCACGGGGGACCGCCGGGGUCAACUCGGAGGAAGGUGGGGAUGACGUCAGAUCAUCAUGCCCCUUACGUCCAGGGCUUCACGCAUGCUACAAUGGCCGGUACAGCGGGAUGCGACAUGGCGACAUGGAGCGGAUCCCUGAACACCGGUCUCAGUUCGGAUUGGAGUCUGCAACCCGACUCCAUGAAGGCGGAAUCGGUAGUAACCGCGGA
RNAcentral lists this ribosomal RNA (900 nucleotides) under human gut metagenome. RNAcentral describes it as "bacterial SSU rRNA". It matches the Rfam family "Bacterial small subunit ribosomal RNA", at positions 441 to 1348 of the family's 1533-position model. The record is from RNAcentral.